UAGAGUUUUGAUCAUGGCUCAGAUUGAACGCUGGCGGCAUGCCUUACACAUGCAAGUCGAACGGUAACAGGUCUUCGGAUGCUGACGAGUGGCGAACGGGUGAGUAAUACAUCGGAACGUGCCCGAUCGUGGGGGAUAACGAAGCGAAAGCUUUGCUAAUACCGCAUACGAUCUACGGAUGAAAGCAGGGGACCGCAAGGCCUUGCGCGAACGGAGCGGCCGAUGGCAGAUUAGGUAGUUGGUGGGAUAAAAGCUUACCAAGCCGACGAUCUGUAGCUGGUCUGAGAGGACGACCAGCCACACUGGGACUGAGACACGGCCCAGACUCCUACGGGAGGCAGCAGUGGGGAAUUUUGGACAAUGGGCGAAAGCCUGAUCCAGCCAUGCCGCGUGCAGGAUGAAGGCCUUCGGGUUGUAAACUGCUUUUGUACGGAACGAAAAGACUCUGGUUAAUACCUGGGGUCCAUGACGGUACCGUAAGAAUAAGCACCGGCUAACUACGUGCCAGCAGCCGCGGUAAUACGUAGGGUGCAAGCGUUAAUCGGAAUUACUGGGCGUAAAGCGUGCGCAGGCGGUUAUAUAAGACAGAUGUGAAAUCCCCGGGCUCAACCUGGGAACUGCAUUUGUGACUGUAUAGCUAGAGUACGGCAGAGGGGGAUGGAAUUCCGCGUGUAGCAGUGAAAUGCGUAGAUAUGCGGAGGAACACCGAUGGCGAAGGCAAUCCCCUGGGCCUGUACUGACGCUCAUGCACGAAAG
RNAcentral lists this ribosomal RNA (756 nucleotides) under Acidovorax temperans. Its description in RNAcentral is "bacterial SSU rRNA". It matches the Rfam family "Bacterial small subunit ribosomal RNA", at positions 1 to 759 of the family's 1533-position model. The record is from RNAcentral. Lineage: Bacteria; Pseudomonadati; Pseudomonadota; Betaproteobacteria; Burkholderiales; Comamonadaceae.